RNAcentral lists this ribosomal RNA (427 nucleotides) under uncultured Acidobacterium sp. RNAcentral's name for it is "bacterial SSU rRNA". It matches the Rfam family "Bacterial small subunit ribosomal RNA", at positions 958 to 1385 of the family's 1533-position model. The record is from RNAcentral. Lineage: Bacteria; Pseudomonadati; Acidobacteriota; Terriglobia; Terriglobales; Acidobacteriaceae.
AACGCGAAGAACCUUACCUGGGCUCGAAAUGUACAGGAAUCCGGUGGAAACAUCGGCGUCCCGCAAGGGACCUGUAUAUAGGUGCUGCAUGGCUGUCGUCAGCUCGUGUCGUGAGAUGUUGGGUUAAGUCCCGCAACGAGCGCAACCCUUAUCUUCAGUUGCUACCAUUUAGUUGAGCACUCUGACGAAACCGCCUCGGAUAACGGGGAGGAAGGUGGGGAUGACGUCAAGUCCUCAUGGCCUUUAUGUCCAGGGCUACACACGUGCUACAAUGGCCGGUACAAACCGUCGCAAACCCGCGAGGGGGAGCUAAUCGGAAAAAGCCGGCCUCAGUUCGGAUUAGAGUCUGCAACUCGACUCUAUGAAGCUGGAAUCGCUAGUAAUCGCGGAUCAGAAUGCCGCGGUGAAUACGUUCCCGGGCCUUGUA